This 124-nucleotide ribosomal RNA is filed under the name Castor canadensis (American beaver). Lineage: Eukaryota; Metazoa; Chordata; Mammalia; Rodentia; Castoridae. The record is from RNAcentral.
GUCUACAGCCAUACCACCCUAAACACUGCCUAUAUCUCAUCUGAUCUCAGAAGAGAGAGGGUGAGACCUGAUCAGUACUUGGAUGGGAGAAACCUUAGGUCACGUAUUUGGGUUUUUGUACCCA